AACAGUUGCUAAGGCUGGAUAGGAAAUAAAAAGGCAUCUUUUUAUUUUUAAAAGACCUUUUUCGGAAGGUAUGCUUAAAGAGGGGCUUGCGUCACAUUAGUUAGUUGGUAGGGUAAAGGCCUACCAAGACGAUGAUGUGUAGCUGGACUGAGAGGUUGAACAGCCACAUUGGGACUGAGACACGGCCCAAACUCCUACGGGAGGCAGCAGUAGGGAAUUUUCGGCAAUGGAGGAAACUCUGACCGAGCAACGCCGCGUGAACGACGAAGUACUUCGGUAUGUAAAGUUCUUUUAUUGAAGAAGAAACAAUAGUGGAAAAACUAUCUUGACGUUAUUCAAUGAAUAAGCCCCGGCUAACUAUGUGCCAGCAGCCGCGGUAAUACAUAGGGGGCGAGCGUUAUCCGGAAUUAUUGGGCGUAAAGGGUGCGUAGGCGGUUUAAUAAGUCUCUAGUUUAAUUUCAACGCUUAACGUUGUCCUGCUAGAGAAACUGUUUAACUAGAGUGAGAUAGAGGUAAGCGGAAUUCCAUGUGUAGCGGUAAAAUGUGUAAAUAUAUGGAGGAACACCAGAGGCGUAGGCGGCUUACUGGGUCUUUACUGACGCUGAUGCACGAAAGCGUGGGGAGCAAACAGGAUUAGAUACCCUGGUAGUCCACGCCGUAAACUAUGAGUACUAAGUGUCGGGGUUAAACUCGGUACUGAAGUUAACACAUUAAGUACUCCGCCUGAGUAGUACGUACGCAAGUAUGAAACUUAAAGGAAUUGACGGGAUCCCGCACAAGCGGUGGAUCAUGUUGUUUAAUUCGAAGAUACACGAAAAACCUUACCAGGUCUUGACAUACUCUGCAAAGCUAUAGAAAUAUAGUGGAGGUUAUCAGGGAUACAGGUGGUGCAUGGUUGUCGUCAGCUCGUGUCGUGAGAUGUUAGGUUAAGUUCUAAAACGAGCGCAACCCCUGUCGUUAAUUGCCAGCACGUUAUGGUGGGGACUUUAGCGAGACUGCCAAUGAAAAAUUGGAGGAAGGUGGGGAUUACGUCAAAUCAUCAUGCCCCUUAUGAUCUGGGCUACAAACGUGAUACAAUGGCUAUUACAAAGAGUAGCUGAAACGCGAGUUUUCGGCAAAUCUCAAAAAAAUAGUCUCAGUUCGGAUUGAAGUCUGCAACUCGACUUCAUGAAGUUGGAAUCGCUAGUAAUCGCGAAUCAGCAUGUCGCGGUGAAUACGUUCUCGGGGUUUGUACACACCGCCCGUCAAA
This 1249-nucleotide ribosomal RNA is filed under the name Lethal yellowing phytoplasma. RNAcentral's name for it is "bacterial SSU rRNA". It matches the Rfam family "Bacterial small subunit ribosomal RNA", at positions 155 to 1401 of the family's 1533-position model. Lineage: Bacteria; Bacillati; Mycoplasmatota; Mollicutes; Acholeplasmatales; Acholeplasmataceae. The record is from RNAcentral.